AGAUUGAUGUUGUCCUGAGAAGUUAAAAAAUUUGUCAGUUGUUUUGAUGCUGUAUGAUUUUGUCAGUUUCAUUGCUGUAGGUUAAAUCGAUUGAUCUUUUUCAGUUGUUAUCUGAUGACCAUUCUGUCAAUCAGUUGAGACCCGAGGCACCUGCGGAUACAGUCUACUAAGAAGCGACCCGGAAGCUACAUCUUUGUUUACUGUUUGCUGAUUGGCUAGCGUGUAUCCAUCCAUCUGGAAAGUUGUGACGUAUUGGUCAUUUUCGCUUGACUUCAGGCUGGCGUAACGUGGCGGUGAAAUAGUUGCAUUACUUUGCUUGCUCUUAUUGUUUCGAGUACAUUGUCUAAAUUUAAAGUAAAAUACCACCACAGAAAAGAUACUUAAAAUGGAUAUCCCUGUCAAGAUGUAAUACCAAAGAGGACAAACCUGCUGGACAUCAUCAAGUUGCAUACGACACUCAUUUGACAAGGGUUCUGCUCCCAUGUCGUUUGUCUCCACGGAUUGAGCAGACUGGAAAUCAGCCGAUUCAGAAUGGGACAACUCGUUAAGCAUCAGAUUCAUCGUAACUGCUUGACGAAUCAUCUGGUGGCACUACAAAGUUCGCCCUUCUCUUUGGGUAACCUUGGGGAGCUUUUCGUUCUGGCCAUUCUUCUAUAUUGGCAUACCUUAUCUGAUCGGCAUGGACCUGGAGGACACGAUUAUCAAGCUGGCUUUUAAUCAGAGUUUCCGUAAAGGCUGAGCUUGUAAACUCCGAUCCUCGGUCAUGGAUAAUCCGAAGAGGACACCCAUACCUAGGAUAAAUUUCAUUCAAAA
Long non-coding RNA from Mercenaria mercenaria, 813 nucleotides. RefSeq lists it as uncharacterized. The record is from RefSeq and is a predicted model, not a curated record. The transcript is spliced from 4 exons. Lineage: Eukaryota; Metazoa; Mollusca; Bivalvia; Venerida; Veneridae.